This is a long non-coding RNA of Oncorhynchus keta (chum salmon), 271 nucleotides long. RefSeq lists it as uncharacterized. The record is from RefSeq and is a predicted model, not a curated record. NCBI's taxonomy places the organism in Eukaryota, Metazoa, Chordata, Actinopteri, Salmoniformes, Salmonidae. The transcript has 3 exons.
AGGGGAGAGGAGAGGGUGGCUGAUGGUCUCUUUAUGAGGGGAGGAGAGAGGGUGGCUGAUGGUCUCUUUAUGAGGGGAGAGGAGAGGGUGGCUGAUGGUCUCUUUAUGAGGGGAGAGGAGAGGGUGGCUGAGGGGAGAGGAGAGGGUGGCUGAUGGUCUCUAUGAGGGGAGAGGAGAGGGUGGCUGAGGGUCUCUAUGAGGGGAGAGGAGAGAGUGGCUGAUGGUGUCUUUAUGUGGGUAGAGGAGAGGGUGGCUGAUGGUCUCUUUAUGU